This 1294-nucleotide ribosomal RNA is filed under the name metagenome. Its description in RNAcentral is "SSU rRNA". It matches the Rfam family "Eukaryotic small subunit ribosomal RNA", at positions 122 to 1436 of the family's 1831-position model. The record is from RNAcentral.
AGAUCGUUCAUACUACAUGGAUAACUGUGGUAAUUCUAGAGCUAAUACAUGCAAAAAGCUCCGACCGUAUGGGAAGAGCGCUUUUAUUAGACCAAAACCAAUGGGGUCGCAAGAUCCCUUUGUAUGGUGACUCUGGAUAACUUUGUGCUGAUCGCAUGGCCUAGAGCCGGCGACGUAUCUUUCAAGUGUCUGCCCUAUCAACUUUCGAUGGUAAGCGAUUUGCCUACCAUGGUUGUAACGGGUAACGGGGAAUCAGGGUUCGAUUCCGGAGAGGGAGCAUGAGAAACGGCUACCACAUCUACGGAAGGCAGCAGGCGCGCAAAUUACCCACUCCUAGAACUGGGAGGUAGUGACGAAAAAUAACAAUACCGGACUCAAUGAGGCUCGGUAAUUGAAAUGAGUACAGUUUAAAACCCUUAACGAGGAUCUAUUGGAGGGCAAGUCUGGUGCCAGCAGCCGCGGUAAUUCCAGCUCCAAUAGCGUAUAUUAAAGUUGUUGCAGUUAAAAAGCUCGUAGUUGGAUCUCGGGUACUAGCAUGUGGUACGCUUUUUUGCUGUUACUACAUGUCUGGUCCUAAUCAACCGGUUGGCCGUUGAUGUCCUUUAUUGGGUGUUUUCGGUAGCCGGUACGUUUACUUUGAGAAAAUUAGAGUGCUUAAAGCAGGCCUUAAGCCUGAAUAAUGUUGCAUGGAAUAAUAGAAUAGGACCUCGGUUCUAUUUUGUUGGUUUUGUAGAGCAUUGAGGUAAUGAUUAAUAGGGACAGACGGGGGCAUUCGUAUUGCGGUGUUAGAGGUGAAAUUCUUGGAUCGCCGCAAGACGAACAACUGCGAAAGCAUUUGCCAAGAAUGUUUUCAUUAAUCAAGAACGAAAGUUGGAGGUUCGAAGACGAUUAGAUACCGUCCUAGUUCCAACCAUAAACGAUGCCAACUAGCGAUUAGCUGCUGUUAUUUUUAUGACACAGCUAGCAGCUUCCGGGAAACCAAAGUUUUUGGGUUCCGGGGGAAGUAUGGUUGCAAAGCUGAAACUUAAAGGAAUUGACGGAAGGGCACCACCAGGAGUGGAGCCUGCGGCUUAAUUUGACCCAACACGGGAAGUCUCACCCGGCCCGGACACUGUAAGGAUUGACAGAUUGAGAGCUCUUUCUUGAUUCGGUGGGUGGUGGUGCAUGGCCGUUCUUAGUUGGUGGAGCGAUUUGUCUGGUUAAUUCCGAUAACGAACGAGACUCUAGCCUGCUAAAUAGUACGUCGAUCUUUAGUCGGCGCGUACUUCUUAGAGGGACAAGUAGCGGUAAGCUC